Molecule: ribosomal RNA, 1203 nt
Filed under: Micrococcus sp.
Lineage: Bacteria; Bacillati; Actinomycetota; Actinomycetes; Micrococcales; Micrococcaceae
Description: bacterial SSU rRNA
Source: RNAcentral
AUCCUGGCUCAGGAUGAACGCUGGCGGCGUGCUUAACACAUGCAAGUCGAACGAUGAAGCCCAGCUUGCUGGGUGGAUUAGUGGCGAACGGGUGAGUAACACGUGAGUAACCUGCCCUUAACUCUGGGAUAAGCCUGGGAAACUGGGUCUAAUACCGGAUAGGAGCGUCCACCGCAUGGUGGGUGUUGGAAAGAUUUAUCGGUUUUGGAUGGACUCGCGGCCUAUCAGCUUGUUGGUGAGGUAAUGGCUCACCAAGGCGACGACGGGUAGCCGGCCUGAGAGGGUGACCGGCCACACUGGGACUGAGACACGGCCCAGACUCCUACGGGAGGCAGCAGUGGGGAAUAUUGCACAAUGGGCGCAAGCCUGAUGCAGCGACGCCGCGUGAGGGAUGACGGCCUUCGGGUUGUAAACCUCUUUCAGUAGGGAAGAAGCGAAAGUGACGGUACCUGCAGAAGAAGCACCGGCUAACUACGUGCCAGCAGCCGCGGUAAUACGUAGGGUGCGAGCGUUAUCCGGAAUUAUUGGGCGUAAAGAGCUCGUAGGCGGUUUGUCGCGUCUGUCGUGAAAGUCCGGGGCUUAACCCCGGAUCUGCGGUGGGUACGGGCAGACUAGAGUGCAGUAGGGGAGACUGGAAUUCCUGGUGUAGCGGUGGAAUGCGCAGAUAUCAGGAGGAACACCGAUGGCGAAGGCAGGUCUCUGGGCUGUAACUGACGCUGAGGAGCGAAAGCAUGGGGAGCGAACAGGAUUAGAUACCCUGGUAGUCCAUGCCGUAAACGUUGGGCACUAGGUGUGGGGACCAUUCCACGGUUUCCGCGCCGCAGCUAACGCAUUAAGUGCCCCGCCUGGGGAGUACGGCCGCAAGGCUAAAACUCAAAGGAAUUGACGGGGGCCCGCACAAGCGGCGGAGCAUGCGGAUUAAUUCGAUGCAACGCGAAGAACCUUACCAAGGCUUGACAUGUUCUCGAUCGCCGUAGAGAUACGGUUUCCCCUUUGGGGCGGGUUCACAGGUGGUGCAUGGUUGUCGUCAGCUCGUGUCGUGAGAUGUUGGGUUAAGUCCCGCAACGAGCGCAACCCUCGUUCCAUGUUGCCAGCACGUMRUGGUGGGGACUCAUGGGAGACUGCCGGGGUCAACUCGGAGGAAGGUGAGGACGACGUCAAAUCAUCAUGCCCCUUAUGUCUUGGCUUCACGCAUGCUACAAU